GACAGAGGGUGCAAACGUUGUUCGGAAUUACUGGGCGUAAAGCGCGUGUAGGCGGCCAUCUAAGUCGGGCGUGAAAUCCCACGGCUCAACCGUGGAAGUGCACUCGAAACUGGAUGGCUAGAGUCCUGGAGAGGAAGGUGGAAUGCUUGGUGUAGAGGUGAAAUUCGUAGAUAUCAAGCGGAACACCGAUGGCGAAGGCAGGUCUCUGGGCAUUAACUGACGCUGAGGAGCGAAAGCGUGGGGAGCGAACAGG
This 253-nucleotide ribosomal RNA is filed under the name uncultured bacterium. RNAcentral describes it as "partial 16S ribosomal RNA". It matches the Rfam family "Bacterial small subunit ribosomal RNA", at positions 524 to 776 of the family's 1533-position model. The record is from RNAcentral.